AGCAGCCGCGGUAAUUCCAGCUCCAAUAGCGUAUAUUAAAGUUGUUGCAGUUAAAAAGCUCGUAGUUGAAUUUCGGGGUCAGUAGGCUGGUCGUGCCACAGGUACGUACUGGUCUCACUGAUUCCUCCUUCCUGAAGAACCGUAAUGCCAUUAAUUUGGUGUUGCGGGAAACAGGACUGUUACUUUGAAAAAUUAGAGUGUUUAAAGCAGGCUAACGCUUGAAUACAUUAGCAUGGAAUAAUGAAAUAGGACGAUCGAUCCUAUUUUGUUGGUUUCUAGGAUUGACGUAAUGAUUAAUAGGGAUAGUUGGGGGCAUUAGUAUUCAAUUGUCAGAGGUGAAAUUCUUGGAUUUAUUGAAGACUAACUACUAGCGAAAGCAUUUGACCAAGGAUGUUUUUCAUUAAUCAAAGAACGAAAGUUAGGGGAUCGAAAGACGAUCAGAUACCGUCGUAAGUCUUAACCAUAAACUAUAGCCGACUAGGGAUCGAUGAUGUUAAAUUUUAUAAUGA
This 509-nucleotide ribosomal RNA is filed under the name uncultured fungus. RNAcentral describes it as "SSU rRNA". It matches the Rfam family "Eukaryotic small subunit ribosomal RNA", at positions 569 to 1077 of the family's 1831-position model. Lineage: Eukaryota; Fungi. The record is from RNAcentral.